Molecule: ribosomal RNA, 402 nt
Filed under: bacterium
Lineage: Bacteria
Description: partial 16S ribosomal RNA
Rfam family: Bacterial small subunit ribosomal RNA
Source: RNAcentral
UGGGGAAUUUUGCACAAUGGGGGAAACCCUGAUGCAGCGACGCCGCGUGAUUUAGAAGGCCUUCUGGUUGUAAAAAUCUUUUCUAUGGGAAGAAAAUGACAGUACCAUAGGAAUAAGGACCGGCUAAUUACGUGCCAGCAGCCGCGGUAAUACGUAAGGUCCGAGCGUUGUCCGGAAUCAUUGGGCGUAAAGGGUACGUAGGCGGGUAAGCAAGUUAGAAGUGAAAUCCUAUAGCUCAACUAUAGUAAGCUUUUAAAACUGCUCAUCUUGAGGUAUGGAAGGGAAAGUGGAAUUCCUAGUGUAGCGGAGAAAUGCGCAGAUAUUAGGAGGAAUACCGGUGGCGAAGGCGACUUUCUGGCCAUAACCUGACGCUGAGGUACGAAAGCGUGGGUAGCAAACAGG